CCUACGGGAGGCAGCAGUGGGGAAUAUUGCACAAUGGGGGAAACCCUGAUGCAGCGACGCCGCGUGAGUGAAGAAGUAAUUCGUUAUGUAAAGCUCUAUCAGUAGGGAAGAAAAUGACGGUACCUGAGGAAGAAGCCCCGGAUAACUACGUGCAAGCAGCAGUGGUAACACGGCGGGGGCACGCGUUAUCCGGAUGUAGUGGGUGUAAAGGGAGCGUAGAGGGGAGUGCAAGUCUGGAGUGAAAGGCGGGGACUCAACCCCCGGACUGCUCUUGAAACUGUACGGCUGGAGUGCAGGAGAGGUAAGUGGAAUUCCUAGUGUAGCGGUGAAAUGCAUAGAUAUUACGAAGAACACCAAUGGCGAAGGCAGCUUACUGGACUGUAACUGACGUUGAGGCUCGAAAGCGUGGGGAGCAAACAGGAUUAGAUACCCCAGUAGUC
RNAcentral lists this ribosomal RNA (440 nucleotides) under uncultured bacterium. Its description in RNAcentral is "partial 16S ribosomal RNA". It matches the Rfam family "Bacterial small subunit ribosomal RNA", at positions 338 to 795 of the family's 1533-position model. The record is from RNAcentral.